RNAcentral lists this ribosomal RNA (548 nucleotides) under uncultured bacterium. Its description in RNAcentral is "bacterial SSU rRNA". It matches the Rfam family "Bacterial small subunit ribosomal RNA", at positions 355 to 894 of the family's 1533-position model. The record is from RNAcentral.
UAGGGAAUCUUCGGCAAUGGACGGAAGUCUGACCGAGCAACGCCGCGUGAGUGAAGAAGGUUUUCGGAUCGUAAAGCUCUGUUGUAAGAGAAGAACGAGUGUGAGAGUGGAAAGUUCACACUGUGACGGUAUCUUACCAGAAAGGGACGGCUAACUACGUGCCAGCAGCCGCGGUAAUACGUAGGUCCCGAGCGUUGUCCGGAUUUAUUGGGCGUAAAGCGAGCGCAGGCGGUUAGAUAAGUCUGAAGUUAAAGGCUGUGGCUUAACCAUAGUAGGCUUUGGAAACUGUUUAACUUGAGUGCAAGAGGGGAGAGUGGAAUUCCAUGUGUAGCGGUGAAAUGCGUAGAUAUAUGGAGGAACACCGGUGGCGAAAGCGGCUCUCUGGCUUGUAACUGACGCUGAGGCUCGAAAGCGUGGGGAGCAAACAGGAUUAGAUACCCUGGUAGUCCACGCUGUAAACGAUGAGUGCUAGGUGUUAGACCCUUUCCGGGGUUUAGUGCCGUAGCUAACGCAUUAAGCACUCCGCCUGGGGAGUACAACCGCAAGGU